GGUUAAAUAACAUAAUUGGCUAAUGUGUUAGAUUGCAAAUCUUGAAAUACUGGUUCGAGUCCAGUUUUAACCU
This 73-nucleotide transfer RNA is filed under the name Navicula sp. Its description in RNAcentral is "tRNA-Cys". It matches the Rfam family "tRNA". From Rfam's summary of the family: Transfer RNA (tRNA) molecules are approximately 80 nucleotides in length. Their secondary structure includes four short double-helical elements and three loops (D, anti-codon, and T loops). Lineage: Eukaryota; Bacillariophyta; Bacillariophyceae; Naviculales; Naviculaceae. The record is from RNAcentral.